This 434-nucleotide ribosomal RNA is filed under the name uncultured bacterium. Its description in RNAcentral is "bacterial SSU rRNA". It matches the Rfam family "Bacterial small subunit ribosomal RNA", at positions 957 to 1391 of the family's 1533-position model. The record is from RNAcentral.
GAACGCGAAGAACCUUACCAGGUCUUGACAUCCCUCUGACCGCUCUAGAGAUAGAGUUUUCCUUCGGGACAGAGGUGACAGGUGGUGCAUGGUUGUCGUCAGCUCGUGUCGUGAGAUGUUGGGUUAAGUCCCGCAACGAGCGCAACCCCUAUUGUUAGUUGCCAUCAUUUAGUUGGGCACUCUCGCGAGACUGCCGGUAAUAAACCGGAGGAAGGUGGGGAUGACGUCAAAUCAUCAUGCCCCUUAUGACCUGGGCUACACACGUGCUACAAUGGCUGGUACAACGAGUCGCAAGCCGGUGACGGCAAGCUAAUCUCUUAAAGCCAGUCUCAGUUCGGAUUGUAGGCUGCAACUCGCCUACAUGAAGUCGGAAUCGCUAGUAAUCGCGGAUCAGCACGCCGCCGGUGAAUACGUUCCCGGGUCUUGUACACACC